UGUUAUGAGGUGAUGCACUAUCGGGCAUUAAAAAAGUAUUAAAAAAAGGGAGUGUCUUUAGCUUGUGCCGUAGAAUUCAUGAGUGCUAACUCUCGAUCGGUGACAAUUACACCAAGAAGACAAUUAUCAUCCAAUAACGUCCUCAAUCUAGUCAAAGCCCAUUUGGAAAUGGCCCAACAAUCUCAAUAUUAACGGGGCAAGUCUAGAACAAGUCAGUUACAGUAUCACCAGAUGUCCU
This 238-nucleotide long non-coding RNA is filed under the name Prunus persica (peach). Its description in RNAcentral is "long non-coding RNA (PPER_LNC001855)". Lineage: Eukaryota; Viridiplantae; Streptophyta; Magnoliopsida; Rosales; Rosaceae. The record is from RNAcentral.